CCUACGGGAGGCAGCAGUAGGGAAUAUUGCUCAAUGGGGGAAACCCUGAAGCAGCAACGCCGCGUGGAGGAUGAAGGUUUUCGGAUUGUAAACUCCUUUUGUUAGAGAAGAUAAUGACGGUAUCUAACGAAUAAGCACCGGCUAACUCCGUGCCAGCAGCCGCGGUAAUACGGAGGGUGCAAGCGUUACUCGGAAGCACUGGGCGUAAAGGGCGCGUAGGCGGGAUAGCAAGUCAGAUGUGAAAUCCUAUGGCUUAACCAUAGAACUGCAUUUGAAACUGUUAUUCUAGAGUAUGGGAGAGGUAGGUGGAAUUCUUGGUGUAGGGGUAAAAUCCGUAGAGAUCACGAGGAAUACUCAUUGCGAAGGCGACCUGCUAGAACAUAACUGACGCUGAUGCGCGAAAGCGUGGGGAGCAAACAGGAUUAGAUACCCCUGUAGUC
This 440-nucleotide ribosomal RNA is filed under the name uncultured bacterium. Its description in RNAcentral is "partial 16S ribosomal RNA". It matches the Rfam family "Bacterial small subunit ribosomal RNA", at positions 338 to 795 of the family's 1533-position model. The record is from RNAcentral.